Non-coding RNA from Sinocyclocheilus grahami, 438 nucleotides. The record is from the annotation of a RefSeq genome assembly. NCBI's taxonomy places the organism in Eukaryota, Metazoa, Chordata, Actinopteri, Cypriniformes, Cyprinidae.
AUGGAUCUUCGUUCAGUUAUUCUGUUCUGUGCCUCAGCAGUGGCUGUCUUUGGGAAUUUCAUUAAACCAAACAAAACAGAUGUUUUUGCUGAGGAAGGUUCAGGUGUUACAUUAUCCUGUAGUUUUUCUGCAUCUGGAGGUUCAGAUAAUCUCCACUGGUACCGUCAGUAUGGAAGAUCAAAACCAGUAUUUCUUGUACUUAUCUACAGCAAUGCAAAAGAAGCUCAGCAGUCUGAUGUAGAUCCAAGAUUCUCUGUUAAAGUUGAAAAAAGGGAGAAAAACCAUGUGGAUCUGGAGAUCUCCUCUGCUGCUGUAUCAGACUCUGCUCUGUACUACUGUGCUCUGCAGCCCACAGUGACAGGAAACAUAUCAGCUCUCUACAAAAACCUGUUACAAGGAGAGACAAGAGAGAAACACAAUAUUAAUCUAAUGCAAUGA